Molecule: long non-coding RNA, 519 nt
Filed under: Rattus norvegicus (Norway rat)
Lineage: Eukaryota; Metazoa; Chordata; Mammalia; Rodentia; Muridae
Description: long non-coding RNA NONRATT011854
Source: RNAcentral
UGUCAACAAUAUCUGAUUUAAAAAUUAUAGCAGUGUGGGAAGAUGGUCAUGUACCUUUAGAUGUCUCAGGAACUGAAAGUUCAGAGACGGAAACGUCUCACACCACCAUGAUCCUGAUGAACUCAACAGCUGCGAUGAAUUCAACUGCUGCACCCAUUAGUUCCCAGCAAAUAGGAGAGGAAUUCAUUGCAGUUACUAACAACAUGACUGUUCCAGAAAAGCCUUUCCCCACUUUUGGAUAAGUUUUGUUUAGCAUGAUUCAAAACAGUAACAAUUCUUUUAGAAAGAUCAUAAACAAGUUCCAACAAGUUGAAUAAACUUAUCAAGAGUUAACUAUGGUUACAAAAGUUUCCAUAUUAUUCUGAGGGGCCAUAAAUAUAGAGUUUAAACUUUAUUAAAACAAAGGUAAAUGAUGAAUAGAUACCUGGUGCCCACAAAUCUGGCAGUAUAACUGCAGUUUUUUUAAAUUAUUGUUUGAGGCUGAGAAUUGUUUCCUAGACUGUACGUUCUGCCAUCCUC